UACGUAGGGUGCAAGCGUUAAUCGGAAUUACUGGGCGUAAAGCGUGCGCAGGCGGUUCGUUAAGACAGAUGUGAAAUCCCCGGGCUUAACCUGGGAACUGCAUUUGUGAUUGGCGGACUCGAGUAUGGCAGAGGGGGGUAGAAUUCCACGUGUAGCAGUGAAAUGCGUAGAGAUGUGGAGGAAUACCGAUGGCGAAGGCAGCCCCCUGGGCUAACACUGACGCUCAGGCACGAAAGCGUGGGGAGCAAACAGG
This 253-nucleotide ribosomal RNA is filed under the name uncultured bacterium. RNAcentral's name for it is "partial 16S ribosomal RNA". It matches the Rfam family "Bacterial small subunit ribosomal RNA", at positions 524 to 776 of the family's 1533-position model. The record is from RNAcentral.